Mus pahari (shrew mouse) is the source of this 399-nucleotide non-coding RNA. The record is from the annotation of a RefSeq genome assembly. Lineage: Eukaryota; Metazoa; Chordata; Mammalia; Rodentia; Muridae.
CUCCUGUCAGUAACUGCAGGUGUCCACUCCCAGGUCCAGCUGCAGCAGUCUGGAGCUGAGCUGGUGAAGCCUGGGGCCUCAGUGAAGCUGUCCUGCAAGGCUUCUGGCUACACCUUCACAAGCUAUGGUAUACACUGGGUGAAGCAGAGGCCUGGACAGGGCCUUGAGUGGAUUGGAUAUAUUAAUCCUUCCAGUGGUGGUACUAUAUACAAUGAGAAGUUCAAGAGCAAGGCCACAUUGACUGCAGACAAAUCCUCCAACACAGCCUACAUGCAGCUCAACAGCCUGGCAUCUGAGGACUCUGCGGUCUAUUUCUGUGCAAGACACAAGUAUAGUACUCUACAACUUCACUGUAUGCCUAACUGCAUGGAAGCUAAUGACCAGCAGGGGGCACAAUGA